GGCCAGACUCCUACGGGAGGCAGCAGUGGGGAAUAUUGCACAAUGGGCGCAAGCCUGAUGCAGCCAUGCCGCGUGUGUGAAGAAGGCCUUCGGGUUGUAAAGCACUUUCAGCGGGGAGGAAGGCAAUACGGUUAAUAACCGUGUUGAUUGACGUUACCCGCAGAAGAAGCACCGGCUAACUCCGUGCCAGCAGCCGCGGUAAUACGGAGGGUGCAAGCGUUAAUCGGAAUUACUGGGCGUAAAGCGCACGCAGGCGGUCUGUCAAGUCGGAUGUGAAAUCCCCGGGCUCAACCUGGGAACUGCAUUCGAAACUGGCAGGCUUGAGUCUUGUAGAGGGGGGUAGAAUUCCAGGUGUAGCGGUGAAAUGCGUAGAGAUCUGGAGGAAUACCGGUGGCGAAGGCGGCCCCCUGGACAAAGACUGACGCUCAGGUGCGAAAGCGUGGGGAGCAAACAGGAUUAGAUACCCCAGUACCA
This 474-nucleotide ribosomal RNA is filed under the name uncultured bacterium. RNAcentral's name for it is "bacterial SSU rRNA". It matches the Rfam family "Bacterial small subunit ribosomal RNA", at positions 329 to 797 of the family's 1533-position model. The record is from RNAcentral.